CGACGAAAGCCGGGAUGCACUCCCAAAUCAGAGCCGCCCGCUGACAGCCGAAGAGGGCAUGAUGGAUAGAUAUUCUACGUUUUUUGUUGGAUAGUUAUUUUAUAAGAUUUGACCCCAGAAACUUUUUCUUUUUGUUCCAGAUUGGAUAAUUAUUCCGUCUUUAUUCUUGAUCAUUUAAACCCAUUUCGCUAGAGCAAGACCUGUUCCGCAUAAAGUUAUUCCAGACUUUCUUUCCAUUUUUUUUUAUUGCAUUAGAUGGUGGAAAACUGAAGAGUGACGUAAGGUGCAUUGCUAAUGGGAUCCGAGUUCCGUGGGAUAUUGUGACAUUACUUGAUUUAGCCAAAAUAGAGACGUUAUAAUCUGAGAGAACAGUGCAUAUGGCACGCCAAUCAAUUUAAUCGAACGCGUCUUCAACCAUAUGAAACCUUAUUGUCUUCUCCUCAAUUACCUCA
Molecule: long non-coding RNA, 452 nt
Filed under: Phoenix dactylifera (date palm)
Lineage: Eukaryota; Viridiplantae; Streptophyta; Magnoliopsida; Arecales; Arecaceae
Description: long non-coding RNA (PDAC_LNC002825)
Source: RNAcentral